AGUGAACGCUGGCGGUAGGCCUAACACAUGCAAGUCGAACGGCAGCACAGUAAGAGCUUGCUCUUACGGGUGGCGAGUGGCGGACGGGUGAGGAAUACAUCGGAAUCUACUUUUUCGUGGGGGAUAACGUAGGGAAACUUACGCUAAUACCGCAUACGACCUACGGGUGAAAGCAGGGGAUCUUCGGACCUUGCGCGAUUGAAUGAGCCGAUGUCGGAUUAGCUAGUUGGCGGGGUAAAGGCCCACCAAGGCGACGAUCCGUAGCUGGUCUGAGAGGAUGAUCAGCCCCACUAGAACUGAGACACGGUCCAGACUCCUACGGGAGGCAGCAGUGGGGAAUAUUUGACAAUGGGCGCAAGCCUGAUCCAGCCAUACCGCGUGGGUGAAGAAGGCCUUCGGGUUGUAAAGCCCUUUUGUUGGGAAAGAAAAGCAGCAGGUUAAUACCCCGCUGUUCUGACGGUACCCAAAGAAUAAGCACCGGCUAACUUCGUG
RNAcentral lists this ribosomal RNA (492 nucleotides) under uncultured bacterium. RNAcentral's name for it is "partial 16S ribosomal RNA". It matches the Rfam family "Bacterial small subunit ribosomal RNA", at positions 29 to 507 of the family's 1533-position model. The record is from RNAcentral.